AGGGCCCACCACUACACCCACUCCUCGGUGUUGUUCCCCCAAUCCCUUCUCCCCCGCACAUCUCGCUCGGCCGUCGUGGGUUGCAUCGCCGCCGCAGAAAUUGGAGCGCCCGCCGGCUGCCGCACAGGUCGCGGGUGGUGGUUGAGCGCGCGCGCGGGGCGGAGGCGCGAGAGGCUGUGGUGGUGCGCGCGGGGACUGCAGAAGAGAGGCGGAGCGGGUGAAGGUCGCAGCGGUGCUCUGUCUCCAGUCCGCCAAGGGGUGCGGGGUGAAGGUCGCCGGCGACGCUGCGUUUCCGGCGAGGGGACUUGCCACGGAGUUUCUGAGCAUCAACAAUGUCUGAGACAAGCAAAAAAAAGUGACGGUCAGGUCGCACAAGCAACCCAACAGGGUGUAGAUGAAAUAGAGCGCAGGUACGCCCACCACAGCAACAAAACACGCCGGUAAUUGUCUACAAGUGUAUGCGCACUAAAGAGAUCAUCUAUCGCGGGAAGCACCCAUCAGACAUAGAUAGUAAUACCAGUGCACCAGAUGCUGAUUUAGAAGGCAAGGAUAUCAUGCAAGAGGAGGAAUCGAAGCCAAAACGGCAGAGGACAGGCGAAAACGAGUAGGAACUAAUGGAUGGAUCAAGCAAAAAGGGCAUUCAAGAAGAUCAUCAUGCAGUUAAUCGUGAUGCUGAUCCCUCGCAUGCUAUUGAAUAUCAUCAAGAGGGCUAGAGAAGCACACCCUUUAUUGGGUACCAGCAUCGGGGAAGAAAGGAGAUUGCUGCCCGUGGCAAACGUCCGCUAGACAUCAACAACAAUCUGAGUGUUUCCACAGAUGGUGAUGAAAAUGUUGAGAAAAACACUGCUGUGGAACAACCACCAAAAUCAAAACGUCAAAAGACCGGAUCUAACGAGGAUAAGAGAAACAGGGCAUCGCCUGCAAGGCUUUUCAAGCUGAAUAAACUUCUUGUACCUGUUCAACAAGGCCAAGCUCAAGUCACUUUCAGUCAAUUUCUGACACCAGCCUUAUACAGAUCAUGGGGAAAGAGAAAGGGAGGCAUGUGUUCUUCAGUAACCCAGGGGACAGGGAUGAAAGAAGCACACAACCAUGGGGAAAAGUGAAAGCUAAAUCUGACCUUUUUCUGUGCUUCUUCUACCCUUAGUCAAUAUGAAUUGCCUGGAGAACAAAUCCUAAACCAACCACCAUUGGAGGACUGUGGAGAGUUUUCUGGAUCUGGGAGUUGUCCCUUUGUGGCUUGGGAGAGAGAAGAAGAUGGGGCUGGGCGAUUUGGUGGGGAGAAAAGGAGACGCCCAGGGGGGUGGAGGAGGGAAACACGUGGGGGAGGGAGGAUCAGGUGAGUUCCGCGGCUCGAUGGUUGGGUGCCAGGAAUCGGGAGCGGGGGCCAGGUACUUUCCUAUUCUGGAUAGGAGGGACAGAAAAUUACUAUUUUGGGAGGGCUGCCAGGGAACGCUAGGGAGCAGCCGGCUGCUCCUAGACACGUCCAUCUAUCUUUAUGUUAAAUGCCUUUUUAAGAUCUUACUUACAGAUAAAACUAGCAAAGUUGUUUAGUAUAAAAAAAGGUGAUUGAACGGGGAUUUGAACCACGUAGCACUAAUCUCUACGUUCCAACAAGCCAAGUUCUUACAUACAACGAGCCAAGUUUUUUUUUUCAAGAUUUUUAUAGUACUUUUCACGUGUAGGCAACAAUAUGUUUUUUUUUUCUUUUGCGAAAAGACAACAAUAGUUAUGUACUGUACAACUUAAUGUCAAUGUAUAGCAAACAUUUAUGAAAUCUCCUAAGAAAAUUGUGCCCAUCUUAUGAAUCAAUAACAUUGUUCCAUGUCCAUUUGGAAGAAUUGUCUACCAUAUUUUGAUAUUAUUAUCAUUUUUUCUAAUAGGUUGCAACUAGAAGUGAAGUUAUCCCUAAGUAUCUUUUGACAUUUUUGUCUAUUUCUUGGAUAUGAGCUAAAAAAACAUAAUUCCUUAAAUAUCUUUUUUGAAAUGUUUAAACCUUAUUUGACUUACAUAUACAACAAAUUGCACUACCUCCAGUAAGCACACAUAAAUUUAUUUAAACCAUAGAAAAUUUAAAUCAUCUAAAAAAUUAUUGAAACUCCUACAAACGAAAAUAUAUUUAUUAUAGUACAUGUGACAAUUUUAUAGGGGUAUGCCACAUAUUUUAAUUAAAAAAAAGAACACCACAUUAAUGGAACUCGAACCUGAGACAUAAAUUUUAAGUGGUUAGCACCUUCGAACUUGGCAACUUGUAUUUAAAAAAAUGGUUAACAUUUUUUUGAGAAAUAAAUUCAGACAUCUAUUUUGAAAAAAAUUGUCAUGUAUUUAAAAAGUGUUAUACAUGUAUAAAAAUGUGGCAAAUUUGACAAUUUUGACCUCGAGACGAAAUCAAUUCACAGAAUGAACUGCCCGUGAAACUAUUUCACUCCCCUGACCUUUUUGUGUAGCGCCCGCUACGACGGCGCCACACUCUACGGUGCAGCGCCUAGCUCGGGGGCGUUGCACGCCAGUCCACCGUGGCAGCCCCUGGGCCCGCAUCCAGCAGUGCAGCGCCUCCGAGCUAGGCGCCACACGUGUAAUGUGCAGCACCUCCGAGCUAGGCGCCACACAUUUAAAGUGCAACGCCCAGCUCAUAGGCGCUGCACUGUGACUUAUCCAGCCACUUGGCUGCCCCCCCACUCCUCCCACCCCACACACUCAACCCGAGCUUUGGCCCCUCUCCUCCUCUCAAAUCCUCUCCCAAAUCUUGCAUAUUCGAAGAAUUUGUCCGUGGAUUUCGAAGUCAAACCCUCCCUCAAGGUAAUCUUCUCCGAACCCCUUGUUUUGAUCCAAGUAAUGUUAUCAAAUUGCUCAUUUUUUGCUAGUUUGGGAAACCCUAGUUUUGUUUGGAUCUAGAGAUUUGCAUGGAGAUGUGAGAUGUUUGUUUGCCAAUUUUCCUAUGAUUAGGCUUUGUUAGUAUGUUAGAGUUAUUCUUAUGGGUGUUCUUAUGUUGGUGCUAGGGUUAGGUUUAGGGCUAGGGUUAGGGUUAGGGUUAUGGUUAGAGUUAGGUUGUUGUUUGAUAUAUAUUUUAGGGUUUGUAUUCCGUGUUAAUCCUUGGUACUCAUGGAAGCAAUGUUACGUUGUGUUGUUUGAAUGCUUAUAGGGAUGGGAAGAACAUGUGUGUUUGUUCAUCAUGGGGACAAAGACGCAUUCUUGAAAGGCAAUAUUGAACCUGACCCGGAUGAGCUUGACAUGGUGUUUGAUAGUAGUCCUAGCUAUGCGAAGCUCUUGCAACAAGUGAGGAAAGAUUUAAAUUGGAUGGACCCUAGUGAUAUCGUUGAGUUGGAGGGAAGGCAUAAUGUAGGUUUUGGAAUGCACAUCCGUUGGAAGACAAUGCGUGUCAACUCGAAGCAACGUUGGGUUGCAUACAAGGAAACGGUGGCCGAAUCACUUGACAAGGCUCUUGAGUUAUUUGCAACGAAGAAGGUUGAUUCAAGUUUGCAUUUGGACUUGAACCGGAACCCCUCCCCUUUGGUUGAUAGUAGCCCCCCACCCUUGAAGCGAGAUGAAAUUGUUGAACCUCUUUUGACCCAAGAAGUGGGGCCAACAUUGAGUCCGUUUACAAACAACCAAGAUGAAGCUUUGCAAGAGGACAAUGAUGAGUAUGCGGACGAUGACAAUGAAGUUGAUCUCCAUGACAACAAUGUGGGUGAUCUCGACAAAUAUCAUUUGCAAGAGACAAUGGACCAUUCCAUCCCUUUUUCCCGUGCAUAUGCAUCGGACUCGGAUGACGAUGGUCCCGAUGAACAAGUUGAUGCGGAGGGGUUCACGGUGAAGGAGGCCGAAGCUUUCGAGAAGGUAUUCGGUCGGGAUCAUUGGACUACAUUGUUCAAGGAUGUUAGUCUCGCGUAUGAAGCCGUGGUAGAUGGUGGCCAAUGUGUAUCUCUUGGGGUUAGGCCAAGCUCUCACCGUGAUUUGGGAGACGACAAGAACCGGAUUGCUAAAGGGUCUAAGUUCGAAACCUUGUUGGAAUUGAAGAUGUGGCUCGACAACUACUCGGUUACGCAUUAUCGUCCACACAAGGUGGUGAACUCGGACGUCAAUGUGCGCUACACGGUUGCAUGUGCAAGUGAAGAUGAAAUAUGUCCGUGGAUUGUGCGUGCAAGACCAUGGAAAGGAGGUCCAACUUGGCAUGUAGUGAGUUGUGUGCCAACUCACAUGUGCCAAGGAAAAAGGGUGGAUGGCAAGAUCGUGUCCCAAGACCACAAACAACUCACGUCCGAGUUCAUCGCUUACAGGCUCUCUCCAACUCAAUAUCCACACUUCCAACAAUGAGCGUCCAACAUGUCAUUGAUCUUGUGAAAUCCAUCUUUCAUUACAAGGUGAAGUACGGCAAGGCAUGGAAGGCGAAGCAAGCCGCAUUUAAGAUGUUGUAUGGUACUUGGGAGGAAGCAUACAACUGAAUCCCUAGGUUGUUGUUAGCCAUGGCCACAACAAACCCGGGCAUGGUUCAUGUGGUCAAGCCUCAUGGGCACCAAACAACGGUUCAUGAAGGAAGGAAAGUCUGAGUAUUUGGCCGUGCAUUUUGGGCGUUCGAGCAAUGCGUGAGGGCUUUCGAACACUGUAGGCCGGUCAUCGCCAUUGAUGGCACGUUCUUGACCGGACAACGACAUGUAGACUCGAGCAUAUGUCUUGACCGUGUCCUCAUUAGCAUCCUCAGGGCAAGUACCAAAGUGAAAUGUAAUCCACGUGAAAGGGGCAC
This 4738-nucleotide ribosomal RNA is filed under the name Triticum aestivum (bread wheat). RNAcentral describes it as "partial small subunit ribosomal RNA". Lineage: Eukaryota; Viridiplantae; Streptophyta; Magnoliopsida; Poales; Poaceae. The record is from RNAcentral.